Molecule: ribosomal RNA, 468 nt
Filed under: uncultured bacterium
Lineage: Bacteria
Description: partial 16S ribosomal RNA
Rfam family: Bacterial small subunit ribosomal RNA
Source: RNAcentral
GACGAACGCUGGCGGCGUGCUUAACACAUGCAAGUAGAACGGAAAGGCCCUGCCUUUGUGGGGUGCUCGAGUGGCGAACGGGUGAGUAACACGUGGGUAACCUGCCCUUGACUUUGGGAUAACUUCUGGAAACUGGGGCUAAUACCGCAUAGGAGCUCCUGCUGCAUGGUGGUGGUUGAAAAGUUUCGGUGGUUGGGGAAGGACUCGCGGCUUAUCAGCUUGUUGGUGGGGUAGUGGAUUAGCAAGGCUUUGACGGGUAGCCGGACUGAGAGGGUGACCGGCCACAGUGGGACAGGGAUAGGGGCAGGACGGAUUCGGGAGGAAGGAGUGGAAGUCAGUGCAAGAUAGGCGGAAGCCUGAUGCAGCAAUGCCGGGUGCGGGAUGACUGCCGUCGGGGUGUAAACCGCGUUCGCCUGUGAAGAAGAGUGAGUGACGGUAACGUGUAAGGAAGCAACGGCUAACUACGUG